This is a long non-coding RNA of Dama dama (fallow deer), 252 nucleotides long. RefSeq lists it as uncharacterized. The record is from RefSeq and is a predicted model, not a curated record. Lineage: Eukaryota; Metazoa; Chordata; Mammalia; Artiodactyla; Cervidae. The transcript has 3 exons.
GACACUUUGUUGUCCAUCAAUGGAGAUGUGUCCUAUUUCCUCUUUGGCUUACCUUGCCAAAUCUGGUAUAUGAGACACCCAGUGAAGAUUCAGGAUGUAUCAGAUCAAAGCACAUGAUGGAGGAAGAUGGAGCAUAUCUUGGGAGACUUGGAGCAAUCCCUAUCAAGAUCUAGAUGAAGAAAAUGCUGGAUGAGAAACAGUGACAAGGGACUUUUGUUCUUCUCUGAAAUAAAGCUAAAAAUCUUCUAAAAC